Spinacia oleracea (spinach) is the source of this 102-nucleotide non-coding RNA. Lineage: Eukaryota; Viridiplantae; Streptophyta; Magnoliopsida; Caryophyllales; Amaranthaceae. The record is from Rfam.
GGGAAAUGAGGAGUGGUCAUUUUUCGCUAAUUUUGCGAAAUGGGUGUCCAGCCCAAGCCUGUUACGACAAUAUGGUCAUCCCAAUUUAUACCAUCUGAUCCC